RNAcentral lists this ribosomal RNA (791 nucleotides) under Lactiplantibacillus plantarum. Its description in RNAcentral is "bacterial SSU rRNA". It matches the Rfam family "Bacterial small subunit ribosomal RNA", at positions 39 to 793 of the family's 1533-position model. The record is from RNAcentral. Lineage: Bacteria; Bacillati; Bacillota; Bacilli; Lactobacillales; Lactobacillaceae.
GGGNNAGGGGCUAUACUGCAAGUCGAACGAACUCUGGUAUUGAUUGGUGCUUGCAUCAUGAUUUACAUUUGAGUGAGUGGCGAACUGGUGAGUAACACGUGGGAAACCUGCCCAGAAGCGGGGGAUAACACCUGGAAACAGAUGCUAAUACCGCAUAACAACUUGGACCGCAUGGUCCGAGCUUGAAAGAUGGCUUCGGCUAUCACUUUUGGAUGGUCCCGCGGCGUAUUAGCUAGAUGGUGGGGUAACGGCUCACCAUGGCAAUGAUACGUAGCCGACCUGAGAGGGUAAUCGGCCACAUUGGGACUGAGACACGGCCCAAACUCCUACGGGAGGCAGCAGUAGGGAAUCUUCCACAAUGGACGAAAGUCUGAUGGAGCAACGCCGCGUGAGUGAAGAAGGGUUUCGGCUCGUAAAACUCUGUUGUUAAAGAAGAACAUAUCUGAGAGUAACUGUUCAGGUAUUGACGGUAUUUAACCAGAAAGCCACGGCUAACUACGUGCCAGCAGCCGCGGUAAUACGUAGGUGGCAAGCGUUGUCCGGAUUUAUUGGGCGUAAAGCGAGCGCAGGCGGUUUUUUAAGUCUGAUGUGAAAGCCUUCGGCUCAACCGAAGAAGUGCAUCGGAAACUGGGAAACUUGAGUGCAGAAGAGGACAGUGGAACUCCAUGUGUAGCGGUGAAAUGCGUAGAUAUAUGGAAGAACACCAGUGGCGAAGGCGGCUGUCUGGUCUGUAACUGACGCUGAGGCUCGAAAGUAUGGGUAGCAAACAGGAUAAAACCCCCCGGGGAAAA